Molecule: long non-coding RNA, 245 nt
Organism: Ornithodoros turicata
Lineage: Eukaryota; Metazoa; Arthropoda; Arachnida; Ixodida; Argasidae
Exons: 3
Source: RefSeq, a predicted model, not a curated record
GGUAAAAAUCGAGUUGAAUGAAUCGCCACAGCCCCAACGUAUAUCGCGCAGUGUUGACCAAGACCAAGUCAAGCAGGAAUUCUGGCAUGGUAUGUGGCUGCACGAAGGAUUCCGGAAAAGAAAAACAACAACAUGGCUAAUAGGAUGUUGCUGCCCAGGGAGUCCUGGCGAAGAGGUUUACUCAUUCCAGAAGCAAGAAUUGUAUCAUUGUAAGGCGAAUGGAAAUAAACUGACAUCGACUGAGA